This 465-nucleotide ribosomal RNA is filed under the name Vreelandella stevensii. Its description in RNAcentral is "partial 16S ribosomal RNA". It matches the Rfam family "Bacterial small subunit ribosomal RNA", at positions 338 to 795 of the family's 1533-position model. Lineage: Bacteria; Pseudomonadati; Pseudomonadota; Gammaproteobacteria; Oceanospirillales; Halomonadaceae. The record is from RNAcentral.
CCUACGGGUGGCUGCAGUGGGGAAUAUUGGACAAUGGGGGCAACCCUGAUCCAGCCAUGCCGCGUGUGUGAAGAAGGCCCUCGGGUUGUAAAGCACUUUCAGUGAGGAAGAACGCCUGGUGGUUAAUACCCAUCAGGAAAGACAUCACUCACAGAAGAAGCACCGGCUAACUCCGUGCCAGCAGCCGCGGUAAUACGGAGGGUGCGAGCGUUAAUCGGAAUUACUGGGCGUAAAGCGCGCGUAGGUGGCUUGAUAAGCCGGUUGUGAAAGCCCCGGGCUCAACCUGGGAACGGCAUCCGGAACUGUCAAGCUAGAGUGCAGGAGAGGAAGGUAGAAUUCCCGGUGUAGCGGUGAAAUGCGUAGAGAUCUGGAGGAAUACCAGUGGCGAAGGCGGCCUUCUGGACUGACACUGACACUGAGGUGCGAAAGCGUGGGUAGCAAACAGGAUUAGAUACCCUGGUAGUC